RNAcentral lists this transfer RNA (70 nucleotides) under Camelus bactrianus (Bactrian camel). It matches the Rfam family "tRNA". Rfam says of the family: Transfer RNA (tRNA) molecules are approximately 80 nucleotides in length. The record is from Rfam by way of RNAcentral. Lineage: Eukaryota; Metazoa; Chordata; Mammalia; Artiodactyla; Camelidae. RNAcentral also lists the same sequence under 2 other names.
GGGUAUAGCUUAGUGGUAGAGUGCAUGCCUAACAUGCACAAGGUCCUGGGUUCAAUCCCCAGGACUCCCA